GUGGACCAACAAUACAGUUAAACAAGAUGGACUGUAGGACAGUGCUGCUGCUUUUGACUGUCUGCUGUGCAGGUGUUGAUGGUCAGACUCUGACUCAGUCUGAACCUGUGGUUAAAAGGCCCAGAGAAUCCCACAGACUGACCUGUACAACCUCUGGAUUCACAUUCAGCAGCCACUGGAUGCAUUGGAUCAGACAGGCUCCUGGAAAAGGGCUGGAGUGGAUUGCCCUCAUUUAUACUGAUAGUAGUGGCAUGUUCUACUCUGAUUCUGUCAGAGGCCGGUUUACCAUCUCCAGAGACAACAGCAAACAGCAGCUGUAUCUGCAGAUGAACAGUCUGAAGACUGAAGAUUCUGCCGUUUAUUAUUGUGCUCGAGACUCACAGUGACUGGAGCUGGUUUGGCAGCUGUACAAAAUCCUACAUCUGUCAGGAGAAAUAAGAAUACACAAUUUUUAGAGCAAAAUACCAACAGAAUUUGGAAUUAAAAGCAUACAUUACAGCUGUCAUCAGAUGACCGUUGUCAGGCUUCAGGGUCAAAGGGGGGACUGCAGCUUAUCCCACCUGCCAUAGGGUGAGAGAUUGGGUACACCCUGGACAGUUCAUGAGGCUGUUGCAGGGGUAACAUACAAGAAUGAAAACCAUUUACACCUAUGGGCAAUUUAAAAUCACCAACUGACCUAACUCCACUAACUGCAUGUCAUUGGGUUGUGGGAGGAAGCCUGAAUACCCAAAGAGAACAUGAUGAAAGAGAACAUUGAUGCCAUCUGAGGCAUCAAUACUCAACUCAAGGGUUGUGCAGCCUGGACAGUCUUUGACCAUCACCUUUCAGGUCUCUUGUUAUUCUUUGACUGAUAGCAGCUUU
Non-coding RNA from Oreochromis aureus, 861 nucleotides. The record is from the annotation of a RefSeq genome assembly. NCBI's taxonomy places the organism in Eukaryota, Metazoa, Chordata, Actinopteri, Cichliformes, Cichlidae.